AAGACUAUAGACCUGCGGAGUACCUGCGGAGGGAUCAUUACAGAGUUACUACUCCAAACCCAUUGUGAACCUUACCUAUGUUCUGUUGCCUCGGCGGCGUGGUCAGCGCCCCUCUGAAAAGAGGACGAUGCCCUCCCGCCGGCAGCACCAAACUCUUUGAAUUUUACAGCGGAUUACAGUUCUGAUUUGAAAACAAAAAAACAAGUUAAAACUUUCAACAACGGAUCUCUAGAUCGGAAG
Molecule: unclassified non-coding RNA, 240 nt
Filed under: soil metagenome
Description: partial contains 5.8S ribosomal RNA, internal transcribed spacer 2, and large subunit ribosomal RNA
Source: RNAcentral